GACAGAGGGUGCAAGCGUUGUCCGGAUUUAUUGGGCGUAAAACGUCUGUAGGCGGUCUGCUAAGUCUGAAGUUAAAUAGUGGAGCUCAACUCCAUCUCUGCUUUAGAUACUGACAGACUAGAGUGCGUUAGGGGUUAUUGGAAUUCCCGGUGUAGUGGUGAAAUACGUAGAUAUCGGGAGGAACUCCAGUGGCGAAAGCGAAUAACUGGGGCGUAACUGACGCUGAGAGACGAAAGCGUGGGGAGCAAAAAGG
This 253-nucleotide ribosomal RNA is filed under the name uncultured bacterium. Its description in RNAcentral is "partial 16S ribosomal RNA". It matches the Rfam family "Bacterial small subunit ribosomal RNA", at positions 524 to 776 of the family's 1533-position model. The record is from RNAcentral.